GACGAACGCUGGCGGCGUGCUUAACACAUGCAAGUCGAACGGAAAGGCCCUGCUUUUGUGGGGUGCCCGAGUGGCGAACGGGUGAGUAACACGUGAGUAACCUGCCCUUCACUUUGGGAUAACUUCAGGAAACUGGGGCUAAUACCGGAUAGGAGCUCCCGCUGCAUGGUGGGGGUUGGAAAGUUUCGGCGGUUGGGGAUGGACUCGCGGCUUAUCAGCUUGUUGGUGGGGUAGUGGCUUACCAAGGCUUUGACGGGUCGCCGGCCUGAGAGGGUGACCGGCCACAUUGGGACUGAGAUACGGCCCAGACUGCUACGGGAGGCAGCAGUGGGGAGUAUUGCACAGUGGGCGGGAGCCUGUUGAAGCAACGCCGCGUGCGGAAUGACGGCCUUCGGGUUGUGAACCGCUUUCGCCUGUGACGCAGCGGGAGUGACGGUAAUGGGUAAAGAAGCACCGGCUAACUACGUG
RNAcentral lists this ribosomal RNA (468 nucleotides) under uncultured bacterium. Its description in RNAcentral is "partial 16S ribosomal RNA". It matches the Rfam family "Bacterial small subunit ribosomal RNA", at positions 28 to 507 of the family's 1533-position model. The record is from RNAcentral.